RNAcentral lists this ribosomal RNA (511 nucleotides) under uncultured Glomus. Its description in RNAcentral is "SSU rRNA". It matches the Rfam family "Eukaryotic small subunit ribosomal RNA", at positions 569 to 1080 of the family's 1831-position model. The record is from RNAcentral. Lineage: Eukaryota; Fungi; Glomeromycota; Glomeromycetes; Glomerales; Glomeraceae.
AGCAGCCGCGGUAAUUCCAGCUCCAAUAGCGUAUAUUAAAGUUGUUGCAGUUAAAAAAGCUCGUAGUUGAAUUUCGGGAUCAAUACGUCGGUCGUGCUUCGGUACGUACUGGCGUAAUUGAUUUCUCCCUUCUGACGAACCAUGAUGUCAUUAACUUGGUGUCAUGGGAAAUCAGGACUGUUACUUUGAAAAAAUUAGAGUGUUUAAAGCAGGCUUACGCUUGAAUACAUUAGCAUGGAAUAAUGAAAUAGGACGUUUGAUCCUAUUUUGUUGGUUUCUAGGAUUGACGUAAUGAUUAAUAGGGAUAGUUGGGGGCAUUAGUAUUCAAUUGUCAGAGGUGAAAUUCUUGGAUUUAUUGAAGACUAACUACUGCGAAAGCAUUUGCCAAGGAUGUUUUCAUUAAUCAAGAACGAAAGUUAGGGGAUCGAAGACGAUCAGAUACCGUCGUAGUCUUAACCAUAAACUAUGCCGACUAGGGAUCGGAUGAUGUUAAUUUUUUAAUGUACUCAUU